RNAcentral lists this ribosomal RNA (460 nucleotides) under uncultured bacterium. RNAcentral describes it as "partial 16S ribosomal RNA". It matches the Rfam family "Bacterial small subunit ribosomal RNA", at positions 338 to 795 of the family's 1533-position model. The record is from RNAcentral.
CCUACGGGCGGCAGCAGUGAGGAAUAUUGGUCAAUGGUCGGGAGACUGAACCAGCCAAGCCGCGUGAGGGAAGAAGGUACAGAGUAUCGUAAACUUCUUUUGUCAGGGAGCAAAUACCGGUACGCGUCUCGGGUUGAGAGUAUCUGACGAAUAAGGAUCGGCUAACUCCGUGCCAGCAGCGGCGGUAAUACGGAGGAUUCAAGCGUUAUCCGGAUUUAUUGGGUUUAAAGGGUGCGUAGGCGGUUCGAUAAGUUAGAGGUGAAAUCCCGGGGCUCAACCCCGGCACUGCCGCUGAUACUGGCGGUCUAGAGUUUAGUUGAGGUAGGCGGAAUGUAUGGUGUAGCGGUGAAAUGCAUAGAGAUCACACAGAACACCGAUUGCGAAGGCAGCUUACCAAACCACGACUGACGUUGAGGCACGAAAGCGUGGGGAGCAAACAGGAUUAGAUACCCUGGUAGUC